GUGGUUUUUACCAUCAGAUACCCGAUUCACCUGAUUCUCCUGACGCCCAGCAUGCUGAGGACUUUUUAGAGGCUUUAAUAGCAGAAGAACAGAUACCCGAUUCACCCGAUUCUCCAGGAGCCCAGCACGAUGAGGACUUUUUUGAGGCUUUAUUAGAAGAAGAAGAAGAACAGCAGUCAUCUGACCCUUGGGAAUUCCCAUCACGCGGUAGCUGCAGACGCAGAACUCCUCCUCCUUCGAGUUCUUCAGAUUCGGUUAGUGGAAUUUUUGUGUGUGUGUGUGUGUGUGUGUGUGUGUGUGUGUGUGUGUGUGUGUGUGUUCAGUGAUCUAGUUUCCGUAAUCUACAGAAUCACACAAUUUUACAGGCAGUCCACGUUGCACUGAUAGACGGACCCCCUCAGGAUGAACCUAUAGAUUUGACUAAUCCAUCUCACCGAGAUCCCAUACCACCAUCACCCGCUGGCGACGGUCCUUGUUCCCGUCAUUGUACCGUAUGUCUUGAAGAAGAUAGGCAGAGACGUCGUAUCGCUAGAUUUUUUCAGGUUGGAAAAUUAGUCUUUAUUGACGCUUUUGCGAUUUGACCGAUUGGUGUGCAAUUGUCCAUGAAAGACUUCUUUUUCUACAGGAGAACCGUGGACAGUGCAAUGGGUUAAGGGUUUCAUCCCACGCUCUCUUCGCGGUGGUACGGGUCCAGAACGAUCUCACGAAUCUGACACGCUACGUGGACCGGUUUCUGCAAUCAGACAUGGAUUUGUUGUUCCUUCAUGCAGAGCGGAUGUGGGAUGUACUGCGUUCAUUCCUGGAAACACUACUCGUGGAAGCUACCGAAAGGGUCCAAACGGAGUUGCAGAGGAUCAGAUUGCAAAGGACUGAAAGGGAACAGGAGUCUGCUAGACUGGUCGUUUGCGUGGUGUGCCAAACUGCACUUCCCACCGUAGCCCUGAGAACUUGCGGCCACGUACUGUGUCCAUCGUGCAGUCACCGCCUCUUCAGGUGUCCUGUAUGCAGGGUUCCAAUUGUCGGUAUCCUGGAUCUCUUCUUCCUGUAGGUGGACCGUUCUUCCCACUAAAUAAGGGAGGGGGGUAUUACAUAGUACACGAGGUGACAACCAGUAUCUCUGGACUGACCAUGCGUACUAUGUAAUACCUUAACCUGGGGGCGUUUCUUUUAACGUCUGGACAGUCCCAAGCCCCUGUCCAUGUGGGAUAACGGUCGUGUAAACCCUGUGUUAGGAAAAUGUGUUUCUUAAAGAGAGAGAACAUUUACGGUCGCACUGUCGCCAUCGCUCUACUAGGGAAGGGAGUGUGGGAGGAGUCGUAUGGCGCGCCGCGCCGCACGCCACCACCACAUGUCACCAUCCGCCAUCGCUCUUUAUCUACUAGGGAAGGGAGUGUGGGAGGAGUCGUAUGCCACCACCACAUGUCACCAUCCGCCAUCGCUCUGGAGUGUGGGAGGAGUCAGGGAGGGGGCUUGCUGCUCUCCCAUUGGUCGCCGUCACGGAGCUCUCGGCCAAUCAGAGGCUUGGGCUAUAGUGG
Molecule: unclassified non-coding RNA, 1535 nt
Filed under: Homalodisca vitripennis (glassy-winged sharpshooter)
Lineage: Eukaryota; Metazoa; Arthropoda; Insecta; Hemiptera; Cicadellidae
Description: baculoviral IAP repeat-containing protein 7-like, transcript variant X2
Source: RNAcentral